UGAAUUGACGGGGCCGCACAAGCGGAGGAACAUGUGGUUUAAUUCGAUGAUACGCGAGGAACCUUACCUGGGCUUAAAUGGGGAGUGACAGCUGGCGAAAGUUGGUUUUUCUUCGGACACUCUUCAAGGUGCUGCAUGGUUGUCGUCAGCUCGUGCCGUGAGGUGUCGGGUUAAGUCCCAUAACGAGCGCAACCCUUACUGUUAGUUGCCAGCGGGUCAAGCCGGGAACUCUAACGGGACUGCCACCGUAAGGUGAGAGGAAGGUGGGGAUGACGUCAAAUCAGCACGGCCCUUAUGUCCAGGGCUACACACGUGUUACAAUGGUCGGUACAAAGGGCAGCUACACCGCGAGGUGAUGCUAAUCUCUAAAGCCGGUCUCAGUUCGGAUCGAAGUCUGCAACCCGACUUCGUGAAGUUGGAUUCGCUAGUAAUCGCGCAUCAGCCAUGGCGCGGUCGAAUACGUUCCCGGGCCUU
This 474-nucleotide ribosomal RNA is filed under the name uncultured Sphingobacteriales bacterium. Its description in RNAcentral is "bacterial SSU rRNA". It matches the Rfam family "Bacterial small subunit ribosomal RNA", at positions 907 to 1382 of the family's 1533-position model. Lineage: Bacteria; Pseudomonadati; Bacteroidota; Sphingobacteriia; Sphingobacteriales. The record is from RNAcentral.